RNAcentral lists this ribosomal RNA (253 nucleotides) under uncultured bacterium. RNAcentral describes it as "partial 16S ribosomal RNA". It matches the Rfam family "Bacterial small subunit ribosomal RNA", at positions 524 to 776 of the family's 1533-position model. The record is from RNAcentral.
UACGUAGGCAGCGAGCGUUGUUCGGAGUUACUGGGCGUAAAGGGUGUGUAGGCGGUUCUUUAAGUUUGGCGUGAAAUCUCCCGGCUCAACCGGGAGGGUGCGUCGAAUACUGAGGGACUAGAGUACGGGAGAGGAAAGUGGAAUUCCUGGUGUAGCGGUGAAAUGCGUAGAUAUCUGGAGGAACACCGGUGGCGAAGGCGGCGUUCUGGACUGCAACUGACACUGAGGAACGAAAGCCAGGGGAGCAAACGGG